Long non-coding RNA from Sphaerodactylus townsendi, 2382 nucleotides. RefSeq lists it as uncharacterized. The record is from RefSeq and is a predicted model, not a curated record. Lineage: Eukaryota; Metazoa; Chordata; Lepidosauria; Squamata; Sphaerodactylidae. The transcript is spliced from 3 exons.
AAGAUGGACGUCUCAUCUCUAGAGAGAUGGAGCAACUGCCCAGUCCUAAACAAGACUGCCUUGAAGACAUCCCUUUGCUUUCCGCGGAGUUGUGUUUAGGGUUUCUAUGCACACGAGCCCAAGUCGAAGUGCUGGUUUCGAGGUGCACUUGCAGUUCUAAGCGCUGCAGCGGCCAAAGGUCCCCCCCCCUCCUCCCCCGGAUUGCAGGAAGCCUCCAAGUAUUUUGACGGUGGCUAAACACGCAUUGGAAUUCUCCUCAAAGCUCUAGACAAGACAACAAGCGCAAACAUCAACAAGCGGGUAAGAAGGAACAGAUGGUUGGAAUCAAGAGCCAGAGCCUUUCGCCUCGGGGGAUUGGCGGUCAUGACCAGCCCAAUUCUGAGAGACACUGUGGCAGAGGUGGCUACCUGCCAGUGCAAUAGCAGCAGCACUGCCUUGUGGGGACAUUUCGUACAGGAAAAAUACACAUGCCCCCUGGAAGACAUAGACUGCAGAACAAAUAUACUGGAGUCCAUAGAAAUCCUGGUAACUCCCACCAAUUGAGUAGCACCUCCUGAUCAUGUCCCUCUGAGUGGCACACACAGGUGCAGACAGCCACUGUCUACUGAUGAGGCCACCAUGCUUAAUACCACUCCUCCCCCCAGAGCUCCAGAGAACAUGGAGGAAAAACCGAGCAACAGUGCAACCCCAACAGAAGCAUGUGGCUUAAACAUCUCCCACAGAGCCUGUAAAGGAAGGGCAACUACAUGAUUCCAGAAGGCAUACCCAUCCCUGGCAGCAAAAGUUCUGCCCUCACACAUCCAUCCAUGCUAAAGGUCACACACACUACAGCUCUGCUGCCAUCACCAGCCAUAUGGGCAAAGAACACAACAAAGAGAAGCAUGGCUUAGAGGAAAUACACUGACAUCACUGUGGCCAGGCUCCUGGUUCGGUCCUCACAUGGGGAGAGGCCAGAGGCAGGCAAAAGUGUUGGUACUAAGUUUUGUCCCUACAAAUUGUAGAUGGGGGAAUAGGACUGUCUUGUACAUCCACCAUCUUGGCUGAGACACCCCUUCAGAAACCCUCUAUCCCACAUUCUUGUGCCUCAGCCCCCAUGAGAAGGCCACAUGCCUGCAUUGCUAGCCUGUAUGGCUCAUCAGAUGUCAUCGGUGCUGUGGAGAAUUGUGAAUCCCAGACACCUAACCCUUCCAUGCUAGAGUAGAUACAUCUCCCUUUGGACCACUGGCAACCUGCUUUCUUUAUGAUCUGAACACAGCAGUCAGGAGAGGGUAUGAGCAUGAAGGGAUGACUCCAGAGGGGUGGCCAUGUCAAUCUGUAGCAGCUGUCUUUAAUAUACAUAAGGAGAUGAGCUAUAACAUGUGAAAGCUCAUCAUGAACUACAUGACAUCAGUUCUUAAGAGGUCACAGUACUUGUGCUAUGUUUCAAAGUUAAACAAAACAGAGGGUCAGUGGACCCGUGAAGACUGGCUAUCUUGAUCCCAGUAUGAAAUUCCCCUUGGAAUCCACACACCCCCCACCCCCCCCCCCGGCUGUUCUGGGAGCCCUAUAGGAAAAUCAUAGUAGGGAGGUUGGGCAGAGACUGGUGUGCCACAAGCUGGUGGAGAGGAGUAUAUGGGGAACUAAUUUCAACCGCUCAGUGACUGAAAGGGACAAAAUUGUAGAUUCAGGCGACUGCAAGGGAAUAGUAACAAGGUCUUCAGUGUGGUCCCCUGCCAUGGCAAAGUGCUUCAGGAACCACAGGAACUGGGGCAAGCCUUUUCUAUUUCAACAUGCCCGUGGGCACAGUGGAUUUGUCUGGCCAGUUGCUGCCUGAAUUGGGAUGCUAUGGGAGAUGGGCUUGAACCAGUGAGAUGGCAGAGUGGCAGAAUCCACAAUGGUCACUGUAUCCAGCCCAUACUGCACUGGGAAAGUUACCCUUCCUGGUCUCUUCCCUGUUGAAUCACCACCUGCACAGAUGCCAAACAAAGCCAUAUGAAAUGGUGGUAAGCAGCACAGUGGUCCUAACCACUGCAGGAAUGCCAAUGAGGUUCUAAUAGGAUCUGUACCCUCUCAUGGGGGACUCCAUUUGUUUGGAUACUCCCCUGAGGUGCAUGCCAUGCCCAUCCUAAUAACAACCACUGUGUGGAUUGCACCUCAACAGUAUUCACUGCUCCUGCUUCUAGUGCUGGAUAGGGCUAGACCCUUUUCUGAUCCUGCAAGAAAAUAGAUGCCAUGAGUUUAGAGCACAACGGGCAGCUGCCAGACACCCACCAAAUGUCAACCCCAUCCAUUAUCUGGGGGGCACCCUGGAAAAACCUAUGGUAAACCAGCAUCUCUCUAGCACUGUUGCCAGUACUCAAGGUACACUUUCCAAUGAGUAUACCCCAUUUUAUGACCUGGGGC